This is a non-coding RNA of Moorella thermoacetica ATCC 39073, 37 nucleotides long. The record is from Rfam. NCBI's taxonomy places the organism in Bacteria, Bacillati, Bacillota, Clostridia, Neomoorellales, Neomoorellaceae.
GUCGCGCCCGGCUUCCAUGCCGGGCGAGGGUUGAAAC